Long non-coding RNA from Equus caballus (horse), 1614 nucleotides. NCBI's taxonomy places the organism in Eukaryota, Metazoa, Chordata, Mammalia, Perissodactyla, Equidae. The record is from Ensembl.
AUCUGUUAAUCUGUGUAUGUACGUGCACAUGUGCGUUUUUUAAAAUUAAUUUCCAAAACAUUCAUUAGCUUCUCAAAAAGGUCCUUGACCAUAAAUUUUUAAGAGCCUCUUAUUUAUUUGACUCACAUAUUAGUUGAAGAUCGAAACCUGGAGAAGUAAAAUGGUUUGUUCAAAAUCAGAGGUGGCAGGUUGAUGAGGUCAUAAGGGUUUAUGCUGCUGACUACCCUCUCUCCCCUGGUCCCCUCAUUUCUCCCUGCCCCAGGUGCUGAUGCACAGAACACAGUGACAAGGGGCCGGCACACAGCGCACGAAGCCGAUGUCUGCUGAACCCUGACCUGCUCACCCACGUCAGCAGGAGAGUGUGCCAACGAUGUGGUCCACAAGAGCGGAGCCAUUUUAAAAUGGAGUAGGAGCCGCCUUCCCAGACACACGGCUUUGACUGGACCAAAACAGCAAUUGUUUUACAAGCAGUUGUGUGAGAAGUCAGCAGGAGAACGGGCACCCUGAUCACAAAGACUGAGGAUUGUGGACUUUCUGAAGCUACAAUCAAUAGUCAAUCAAUGUUCAGUCAAGACUUGCUCUCCGCCUCCAACUCCAAUUAAAAUUCGUUGCAAUACAACCUCCCUUCUUUGCCUUUAAAAAUCCCUGACUUUUUACUUCUUAGUGGGACACUAUUUGGGUUUGAGUCUGUGCUCACUGAAUUGCAAUUCUUUGAUCCCAAAUAAACACUUUGCCUUUUAAACUGGUUUCUGUUUUUGUAACUUGACAAUCUUUCCAUGACUUUCCAGUCUUCAUCAAACCUAGCAUAAAAACACUCAGGUUUAAUCAUUUCUUCGGGCGUAUGCUUUUCUCUAGUUAAUCUGUCUUUUGUUACCGGGAUCCCAGUGGAGAACUUAGAAGAGUAGAAGAAAAAGAUAUUUUCCCUCCCCUACAAGAUUAAUGGAUUUGCAGUCCUGGGAGCCACAUGUGUGAAUCCAUUCUGUGCCACCAUGAUUCACCUUGGCAAAGCCACUUAGUCUCUGGGGACCUCAGUUUCUUAGCACAAUGAUUACUUACUGAAUCUCUGUCUAUCCAGGGAACAGGGACAGAAAAGAAAGAGUGUUGACCUCGUUCCCUGCCUGGGGGAAUAGCCAUUACUCCCAAAAGAGAAGGACAAGAAAAAUUGGGAGGAAUCCAGAGAGGGGCAGCUUAGGCUCAUGGUGGAAGGUCUUGUCCUAUAAUUCCACCUGGGGAAGCGGUGGAAGACCUUUCACUUUCCAUUGUUCACAGGUGAGGAGAUUGUGGCAGAGCAUUAAUAUUUCCACCCAAAAUGCUCCCCCUCAGUUGAAGGUAGCUAGGGUUUUGUGAUUUCCUGUGUUGACCUGAACUGCAAAAAGGCAGCUGCCUGGCCAGGACAAAGCACCUCAGGGUCCUCAUUGUCCUCCUCCCUCCUGCCCUGGAAAUCCCCUCAUCCCUGCCCAAAGGGCAGAGAGAAAGGGGGUGAGAGAAAGGGGCCAUGAGUCAGAGCCAAGGCUGGGAGUAGCCAGACAGCAGGUGGUCUCCGGGGGGCCUGAGCCUUCGCAGGUCCUCUGUGGGGGAGUGGAAUGGAGGCAGGAAAUUCUGAGGAGUUAGGGG